This 208-nucleotide ribosomal RNA is filed under the name uncultured bacterium. Its description in RNAcentral is "partial 16S ribosomal RNA". It matches the Rfam family "Bacterial small subunit ribosomal RNA", at positions 1285 to 1500 of the family's 1533-position model. The record is from RNAcentral.
GUCCCAGUUCGGAUCGGAGUCUGCAACCCGACUCCGUGAAGCUGGAUUCGCUAGUAAUCGCGCAUCAGCCAUGGCGCGGUGAAUACGUUCCCGGGCCUUGUACACACCGCCCGUCAAGCCAUGGAAGCCGGGAGUGCCUGAAGUAUGCAACCGCAAGGAGCGUCCUAAGGUAAAACCGGUGACUGGGGCUAAGUCGUAACAAGGUAUC